This 521-nucleotide ribosomal RNA is filed under the name uncultured bacterium. RNAcentral's name for it is "bacterial SSU rRNA". It matches the Rfam family "Archaeal small subunit ribosomal RNA", at positions 345 to 866 of the family's 1478-position model. The record is from RNAcentral.
AACCUCCGCAAUGUGAGAAAUCGCGACGGGGGGAUCCCAAGUGCCAUUCUUAACGGGAUGGCUUUUCAUUAGUGUAAAGAGCUUUUGGAAUAAGGGCUGGGCAAGACCGGUGCCAGCCGCCGCGGUAACACCGGCAGCUCUAGUGGUAGCAGUUUUUAUUGGGCCUAAAGCGUCCGUAGCCGGUUUAAUAAGUCUCUGGUGAAAUCCUGUAGCUUAACUAUGGGAAUUGCUGGAGAUACUAUUAGACUUGAGACCGGGAGAGGUUAGAGGUACUCCCAGGGUAGAGGUGAAAUUCUGUAAUCCUGGGAGGACCGCCUGUUGCGAAGGCGUCUAACUGGAACGGUUCUGACGGUGAGGGACGAAAGUUAGGGGCGCGAACCGGAUUAGAUACCCGGGUAGUCCUAACUGUAAACGAUGCGGACUUGGUGUUGGGGUGGCUUUGAGCUGCUCCAGUGCCGAAGGGAAGCUGUUAAGUCCGCCGCCUGGGAAGUACGGUCGCAAGACUGAAACUUAAAGGAAUU